This 292-nucleotide ribosomal RNA is filed under the name uncultured bacterium. RNAcentral's name for it is "partial 16S ribosomal RNA". It matches the Rfam family "Bacterial small subunit ribosomal RNA", at positions 505 to 796 of the family's 1533-position model. The record is from RNAcentral.
GUGUCAGCCGCCGCGGUAAAACGUAGGACACAAGCGUUAUCCGGAGUUACUGGGCGUAAAGGGCGUGUAGGCGGGUGCGUAAGUCUACUCUGAAAGCUCCUGGCUAAACUGGGAGAGGCGAGUGGAGACUGCGCGUCUAGAGUGAGGAAGAGGAAAGUGGAAUUCCGCGUGUAGUGGUGAAAUGCGUAGAGAUGCGGAGGAACACCAGUGGCGAAAGCGACUUUCUGGUCCUUAACUGACGCUGAGGCGCGAAAGCAUGGGGAGCGAACGGGAUUAGAUACCCUAGUAGUCC